UUUCUUGAUUAGUGGCGCACGGGUGAGUAAUGCAUAGAUAAUGUGCCCCUUAGUUCGGGAUAGCCACUGGAAACGGUGAUUAAUACCGGAUACUCCUUCUUGUUAUAAGACAAGUCGGGAAAGUUUUUCGCUAAGGGAUCAGUCUAUGUUCCAUCAGCUUGUUGGUGAGGUAAUGGCUCACCAAGGCUAUGACGGAUAUCUGGUUUGAGAGGAUGAUCAGACACACUGGAACUGAGACACGGUCCAGACUCCUACGGGAGGCAGCAGUGAGGAAUAUUGCACAAUGGAGGAAACUCUGAUGCAGCAACGCCGCGUGGAGGAUGACGCAUUUCGGUGUGUAAACUCCUUUUAUUAGGGAAGAUAAUGACGGUACCUAAUGAAUAAGCACCGGCUAACUCCGUGCCAGCAGCCGCGGUAAUACGGAGGCUGCAAGCGUUACUCGGAAUCACUGGGCGUAAAGGGUGCGUAGGCUGGCUUUUAAGUCAGAUGUGAAAUCCAAUGGCUCAACCAUUGAACUGCAUUUGAAACUGAAAGCCUAGAGUUCAGAAGGGGCAGAUGGAAUUAGUGGUGUAGGGGUAAAAUCCGUAGAUAUCACUAGGAAUAUCAAAAGCGAAGGCGAUCUGCUGGGAUGA
Molecule: ribosomal RNA, 632 nt
Filed under: uncultured bacterium
Lineage: Bacteria
Description: bacterial SSU rRNA
Rfam family: Bacterial small subunit ribosomal RNA
Source: RNAcentral